Long non-coding RNA from Orcinus orca (killer whale), 803 nucleotides. RefSeq lists it as uncharacterized. NCBI's taxonomy places the organism in Eukaryota, Metazoa, Chordata, Mammalia, Artiodactyla, Delphinidae. The transcript is spliced from 3 exons. The record is from RefSeq and is a predicted model, not a curated record.
UAAACUACAGAAGAGAAACGGGGAGGCCAGGACCGGCUCACGGAACACCCAGGUGAAGAUGCCCAGGAAGCAGUGGGCUAUAAGGACCUGGGGCUCAGGAACGGACUGUAAAUCUGUGAACAAAUAUUUCCUGCGCACCCCGCGCUGCACUGGACACGCAAGAGUAGACCAGCGGGCACUGCUCCGUGGGUCACAAGGGUGGCGGCGCUGACGAGGACACUUCGUUCGUGGGACGCCGUGCCACGUGCUGUACAGGCGUCACCUCGUGUGACCCUCACCGGGGCCGCCCGCCGUCAGGCCCCUUCUGCGGAUGAGGAAACAGAUCAGUGCCCAGACCACACAGCUGCAGCAACGGAAGCAGCAGCGGCAGAACCGCAGGCCGGCCAGGCUGAGGCUGCGGCCAGGACGGAGCCCGGUAGGAUGCUCGCAAAGGACACACAACACCUGCCUCUAGUCCUGCUGCUCCGGUUGGAAGCUGCUUUUCACGCCUCGGGGAGACCUCAGAGCAGCCACAGUCAGCACCUCUCGGCGGCCGGGUAACUUCUCGAGGACAGAACAGGCUCUGUGACAAGCUGUGCAAAGUCAGAGGCACGGGAGUGAGUUUGGAAACGGCCGUGGACGUGGGGCCCGGCUGCUUGACGCCAGGGUCGGACGGUGACAGGUGACGUCCACGCACAAAGGAGUUCUUUCCAUCAGAGGACCCGCAAGAGGCCUUCAGAGGUGUCCCAGCCACGGCCUGCUCCAAGGCAGGGGGCUCUCUGCACACAGCCUUCAUGUUUUCAUCAGUAAUAAAGUAUCAGUUU